RNAcentral lists this ribosomal RNA (428 nucleotides) under Chloroflexota bacterium. RNAcentral describes it as "Chloroflexi bacterium partial 16S ribosomal RNA". It matches the Rfam family "Bacterial small subunit ribosomal RNA", at positions 355 to 775 of the family's 1533-position model. The record is from RNAcentral. Lineage: Bacteria; Bacillati; Chloroflexota.
UGGGGAAAAUUGCACAAUGGGCGCAAGCCUGAUGCAGCCAUGCCGCGUGUAUGAAGAAGGCCUUCGGGUUGUAAAGUACUUUCAGUCGGGAGGAAGGUGGUAAGGUUAAUAACCUUGGCAAUUGACGUUACCGACAGAAGAAGCACCGGCUAACUCCGUGCCAGCAGCCGCGGUAAUACGGAGGGUGCAAGCGUUAAUCGGAAUUACUGGGCGUAAAGCGCACGCAGGCGGUUGAUUGAGUCAGAUGUGAAAUCCCCGGGCUCAACCUGGGAACUGCAUCUGAUACUGGCAAGCUUGAGUCUCGUAGAGGGGGGUAGAAUUCCAGGUGUAGCGGUGAAAUGCGUAGAGAUCUGGAGGAAUACCGGUGGCGAAGGCGGCCCCCUGGACGAAGACUGACGCUCAGGUGCGAAAGCGUGGGGAGCAAACAG